UCCCUGGUGGCUCAGAUGGUAAAGAAUCUGCCUGCAAGGUAGGAGACCCAGGUUCAACCCCGGGUUGGGGAA
Molecule: transfer RNA, 72 nt
Filed under: Ovis aries (sheep)
Lineage: Eukaryota; Metazoa; Chordata; Mammalia; Artiodactyla; Bovidae
Rfam family: tRNA
About the family: Transfer RNA (tRNA) molecules are approximately 80 nucleotides in length. Their secondary structure includes four short double-helical elements and three loops (D, anti-codon, and T loops).
Source: Rfam by way of RNAcentral